Oncorhynchus tshawytscha (Chinook salmon) is the source of this 1298-nucleotide long non-coding RNA. Lineage: Eukaryota; Metazoa; Chordata; Actinopteri; Salmoniformes; Salmonidae. The record is from Ensembl.
GACUUCGCCUUGGGUGCAAAGUGUUAAUGUGAAAGUGACUCUGCCUGGCGCACAUUUGUUGCUUCAAAUAAUGGGCCUUAAAUUAGCACACAAUGGCAGGCAGACGGGCGACACUCGCACCCAGCCAUGCGCAGGAAAGGAUGUAAUUGACCUGAGCCCUAGGACCAUGCCCCAGGACUACCUGACAUGAUGACUCCUUGCUGUCCCCAGUCCACCUGGCCGUGCUGCUGCUCCAGUUUCAACUGUUCUGCCUUAUUAUUAUACGACCAUGCUGGUCAUUUAUGAACAUUUGAACAUCUUGGCCAUGUUCUGUUAUAAUCUCCACCCGGCACAGCCAGAAGAGGACUGGCCACCCCACAUAGCCUGGUUCCUCUCUAGGUUUCUUCCUAGGUUUUGGCCUUUCUAGGGAGUUUUUCCUAGCCACCGUGCUUCUACACCUGCAUUGCUUGCUGUUUGGGGUUUUAGGCUGGGUUUCUGUACAGCACUUUGAGAUAUCAGCUGAUGUAUGAAGGGCUAUAUAAAUAAUUUUGAUUUGAUUUGAUUUGAAUGGUGUUUAACAUGAUUUUUGAAUGACUACCCCAUCUCUGUACCCCACACAUACAAUUAAGGUCCCUCAGGCGAGCAGUGAAUUUUGAACACAGAUUCAACCACAAAGACCAGGGAGGCUUUUCAUUGAUAGAUGGGUAAAAAAAUCAGACAUUGAAUAUCCCUUUGAGCAUGGCGAAGUUACUAAUUACCCUGGAUGGUGUGUCAAUACAUCCAGUUACUACAAAGAUACAAGCGUCCUUCCUAACUCAUUUGCUGGAGAGGAAGGAAACCGCUCAGGGAUUUCACCAUGAGGCCAAUGGUGACUUCAAAACAGUUACGGAAUUGAAUGACUGUGAUAGGAAAAACUGAGGCUGGAUCCACAACAUUGUAGUUACUCCAAAAUACUAACCUAAUUGACAGAGUGAAAAAACAGAAUAAAAAUAUUCCAAAACAUGCAUCCAGUUUGCAACAAAGCACUAAAGUAACUCAAAACAUGUGACAAAGCAAUUCACUUUUUGUCCUGAAUACAAGGUGUCAUGUUCGGGGCAAAUCCAAUACUACACAUUACUAAGUACCACUCUCCAUAUUUUCAAGCAUAGUGGUGUCUGCAUUAUGUUAUGGGUAUGCUUGUAAUCGUUAAGGUGUGAAUGUGUAUGCUGUGUACAAAGAAAUACAAAAGAACGUUGUCAAAUCAAUCUUGAACUCCCAUGUUCAGGGCCAUGCCUAUAGAGUACCACAGUAUGAGUCACAAUACCCAUAAAACCUAGCGG